RNAcentral lists this long non-coding RNA (404 nucleotides) under Rhinopithecus bieti (black snub-nosed monkey). RNAcentral's name for it is "lncRNA (ENSRBIG00000046729.1)". Lineage: Eukaryota; Metazoa; Chordata; Mammalia; Primates; Cercopithecidae. The record is from RNAcentral.
GGUUGUGUCUUCUCUUUAUUGCAUCAUUCCCCAAAGGCUCCUGAGCCCAAUGUGAAAGGAGUCCACAUUGCUAGUAGACUGCUGGCUGCCCCUCUUCUCCUCUGUUCACCUCUAUCACCUGCUACAAGAGUCACCUGGGAGGAAAUCAUUGCUGUGAAGAUGUCUGCCUAUCCCUGGUUUCUUGAUGUCUGGAUAUAUGUUCUGGUACUGUGGGCAACAGAAACAGCACAAUGCAGUGCUUUCUCAACUUGCACAAUCUUAGGAAAUACUUUGGGGGCUUGUUAAAAAUAUAAAUUCUCUGCCCCUCUGCCUACACCAAGCAAAUCGGAAUCUUCAGAAGAGGGAUCUGGGAAGCAACGUGAACAAAGCCAGGCAAAUUUGGUCAACUAUCAGCAUGACAAGGU